UACUUGUACCGACUGGAUGAGCAGCGAACGGGUGAGUAACGCGUGGGGAAUCUGCCUUUGAGCGGGGGACAACAUUUGGAAACGAAUGCUAAUACCGCAUAAAAACUUUAAACACAAGUUUUAAGUUUGAAAGAUGCAAUUGCAUCACUCAAAGAUGAUCCCGCGUUGUAUUAGCUAGUUGGUGAGGUAAAGGCUCACCAAGGCGAUGAUACAUAGCCGACCUGAGAGGGUGAUCGGCCACAUUGGGACUGAGACACGGCCCAAACUCCUACGGGAGGCAGCAGUAGGGAAUCUUCGGCAAUGGACGAAAGUCUGACCGAGCAACGCCGCGUGAGUGAAGAAGGUUUUCGGAUCGUAAAACUCUGUUGGUAGAGAAGAACGUUGGUGAGAGUGGAAAGCUCAUCAAGUGACGGUAACUACCCAGAAAGGGACGGCUAACUACGUGCCAGCAGCCGCGGUAAUACGUAGGUCCCGAGCGUUGUCCGGAUUUAUUGGGCGUAAAGCGAGCGCAGGUGGUUUAUUAAGUCUGGUGUAAAAGGCAGUGGCUCAACCAUUGUAUGCAUUGGAAACUGGUAGACUUGAGUGCAGGAGAGGAGAGUGGAAUUCCAUGUGGUAGCG
RNAcentral lists this ribosomal RNA (618 nucleotides) under Lactococcus lactis. RNAcentral's name for it is "bacterial SSU rRNA". It matches the Rfam family "Bacterial small subunit ribosomal RNA", at positions 77 to 680 of the family's 1533-position model. Lineage: Bacteria; Bacillati; Bacillota; Bacilli; Lactobacillales; Streptococcaceae. The record is from RNAcentral.